GGAGGUAGUGACAAUAAAUCACAAUGCGGGACUAUCAGUCUUGCAAUUGGAUUGAGAACAAUGUACAACUCUUAUCGAUAAGCCAUUGGAGGGCAAGUCUGGUGCCAGCAGCCGCGGUAAUUCCAGCUCCAAUAGCGUAUAUUAACGUUGUUGCAGUUAAAAAGCUCGUAGUUGAAGUGUGGGUGAUCGCUGUUGUGAGACUUCGGUCUCUCGACAGUAAGUCACCCCCUUCCAGUAUCCAGUAGUGGGUAUUCAGUUACUUACUAUUGUGUGUUGGUCGUUUACUGUGAGAAAAUUAGAGUGUUCAAAGCAGGCGUUUGCUUGAAUAGAUUAGCAUGGAAUAAUAAUUGAAGGCUUUCGUGUUCGAUUUGAUUGGUUUGUUCAUGGAAGCAAGGUUAAAAGGAACAGUUGGGGGUAUUCAUAUUCACUAGUUAGAGGUGAAAUUCUCGGAUUUAUGGAAGAUGAACAAGUGCGAAAGCA
RNAcentral lists this ribosomal RNA (480 nucleotides) under Blastocystis sp. RNAcentral describes it as "SSU rRNA". It matches the Rfam family "Eukaryotic small subunit ribosomal RNA", at positions 460 to 953 of the family's 1831-position model. RNAcentral also lists the same sequence under 1 other name. The record is from RNAcentral. Lineage: Eukaryota; Bigyra; Opalinata; Blastocystidae.